RNAcentral lists this ribosomal RNA (240 nucleotides) under uncultured bacterium. Its description in RNAcentral is "partial 16S ribosomal RNA". It matches the Rfam family "Bacterial small subunit ribosomal RNA", at positions 96 to 334 of the family's 1533-position model. The record is from RNAcentral.
CGGCGGACGGGUGAGUAACGCGUGGGUAACCGUGCCUCAUACAGGGGGAUAACAGUUGGAAACGGCUGCUAAUACCGCAUAAGCGCACAGUACCGCAUGGUACGGUGUGAAAAAACUCCGGUGGUAUGAGAUGGACCCGCGUCUGGUUAGGUAGUUGGUGGGGUAACGGCCUACCAAGCCGACGAUCAGUAGCCGACCUGAGAGGGUGACCGGCCACAUUGGGACUGAGACACGGCCCAA